AUGAGCGUUUUUGGCGGCGAUAGCUGGGCGCGGGAGGCGCAACACCGGAAGCGAAGCGUCGACGAGUUGAUGAUCGAAGGCAUCGAUUCAUCUGCUUAUAAGAAACUUUCCAACGGCAAGUUUGCCUGCCUCGUUUGCCCUAGCAAUCCUGUUCUCGACUCCCCCACCAUGCUCUCGACGCAUGUGAGCGGCUCACGCCAUCAAGCUGCCGAGCUGAGGCGUAAAAACAGAGAAUUGUCUAAGCAAGAAGAAAUUAAGAAACGAUUAGCGUUGUCGGAUUGUGUUAGCGCUAAAGCUCCUGCAAAUACUGCAACCAAACAGUUGAUAUCAACCAGAAAACCCUUGAUUGAGCGAGCACGAAAGGCUGUAUUGGAAGUAAUUUCCGGCGAAGUUACUCUGCCGGAGGUGAAACCCAGAGUUGCUAAUUUGGGGGGGCCGUGUGUUGGAGACAGUGGCAGCAAUGCUGAUCCCAUCGGAGUUGAGGCAACGGUAAAGGGAGUUGUUAGAGAGGUGCAGCCAUUGAAUUAUCGAUUACGCCAAGAGAGGGAACUCAAGUUCACGGCUGCUGGCUGGAAACGCGAUUGCCACGGUAGAUGGUUCAAGGAUGAAAAUGUUAGUUCUUUCAUUUGGCUGGAGUUUGUUGUUUUAAUGUUUGGGUUUACAUUUCACAGUUCGGAUUUACAUAGUUGUCGAUGUGAGGUUUUGACAAAGAGAAGUGCUCAUAUUGUAAACUGUUUGAUGCAUCAUUUUGUCCGCAGGUCGAAUUUGAUUCUGAUGAAGAAGAUCCCAACAUUGUCUUAAACGAGACCACUUGAUUUAAGCAAUAUCAGAGUCUAUUUUAAGUAUAGGAAAGUUGCAAGAAUUUAGCCUGAGAACCUCUUGCAAUGGCGAUUGCUUCAGCCGGAUGUUGUGCCCUCGGUAUCUACACACCCAUUCAGUACGUGCUGCGCUUUCCAUCACCGAAUCAUGACAAACUUUGCCGCGAAGAAGGCAUAUUGAGUUGUUGCUGGCGAUCCUCCAUCUUAACGUUGUGUUUGAUCAUCUAUCUCUGGUACUAAUCAUGUAGCUUGUGGGAUUUGUACUAUCAACUAGAACUGGAAUGGUGAAAAAUGCGUGUUAAAUUUAAAUAUGAAACAGUAAAGAAGUUUAUAAUGCAAUGAAUUUGCCCUUGUGAAA
This is an RNA transcript of Salvia miltiorrhiza (redroot sage), 1176 nucleotides long. RefSeq lists it as uncharacterized. The transcript is spliced from 4 exons. Lineage: Eukaryota; Viridiplantae; Streptophyta; Magnoliopsida; Lamiales; Lamiaceae. The record is from RefSeq and is a predicted model, not a curated record.